GACGAACGCUGGCGGCGUGCUUAACACAUGCAAGUCGAACGAUGAAGCCCAGCUUGCUGGGCGGAUUAGUGGCGAACGGGUGAGUAACACGUGAGUAACCUGCCCUUGACUCUGGGAUAAGCCCGGGAAACUGGGUCUAAUACCGGAUAGGAGCGCCUGUCGCAUGACGGGUGCUGGAAAGAUCUUUCGGUCAUGGAUGGACUCGCGGCCUAUCAGCUUGUUGGUGAGGUAACGGCUCACCAAGGCGACGACGGGUAGCCGGCCUGAGAGGGUGACCGGCCACACUGGGACUGAGACACGGCCCAGACCCCUACGGGAGGCAGCAGUGGGGAAUAUUGCACAAUGGGCGAAAGCCUGAUGCAGCGACGCCGCGUGAGGGAUGACGGCCUUCGGGUUGUAAACCUCUUUCAGCAGGGAAGAAGCGAAAGUGACGGUACCUGCAGAAGAAGCACCGGCUAACUACGUG
This 466-nucleotide ribosomal RNA is filed under the name uncultured bacterium. RNAcentral describes it as "partial 16S ribosomal RNA". It matches the Rfam family "Bacterial small subunit ribosomal RNA", at positions 28 to 507 of the family's 1533-position model. The record is from RNAcentral.